GUGCCGGUGGGGCCGGUGGGGGCGGCAGCGCCCUGCCCUCCCCCCCCCCGUCCCCGUCUGCCCUCCGUGAGGGGAGCGGCGGGACGAGCCCCCGACAGGCGACCUCCUGGGCCCCUUCCCCCAGCGGCCCUGCCUCGAGGUGGCCCCAGGCUCGGGAGACGCGAGAUCGGAGCCCCCCGGGCUGCCGGGAGGAGAAGUGUCCCGUGAGGGAGCCAGUGCGCGGCAGGCGGGGGUUGGCGGGUGCCCCUGAGGGAACCUCGGGCACCUCCCGGCCGCUGCCGCGGUCACAGAGGGGCUCCCGCCGGGCUGGGGGCUGAGCCGCGAUCGCUGCGUCUGUCCCCCAGCGGCAGCUGCGCUGCGAGCGGUGAAUAACCAAGGGUCCUUCUCAGUGGGAGCUGACGUCUGAAGGUCCCUGCAGAAUCAUGUUCUGUGAAUCUCCAGUAAAUUGGCUGAUGGCAGCUUUUACUGUGCACCAAAGAGUACUUUAACUGGAAAGCCGAAUGCUGAAUUAAUCACAGAUAAAAAUAGCAAGCUGUUCAGUUUUCUUUGUGAAAUCAGAAAUAUUUCAAAAAUUUUCUACGAAGCUGAGUUUUCUCCAGAUGAAAGUCAAGAGCUAUAUAGCCAGCAAAGGGUACUCGUCAGUUCUUUCAGAGAAUUUAUUUUAGCAGUUCUUCCUAUUGUAAUAGAAAUAACUGCAUUUAAAACUUUAAAAUAAGGAGAACUUUUACUACAGAAAAACUGUAAUGGAAAAUUUUCUUUAAAGGACAUGAAAGACAUAUAAAGAAGUCCUAGAACCUCAUCUGGUCUGAAACUACAACACUUCUCUCUUUUCUGCUGUACCCAAGUGUAUUAACUCCUUGGACUUAGAUGUCUUGUGUAUACAUAGCUAUGUAUAAUCCAUGCAUCACAUAUCACAUACACCUCUGUGGCCUCUAAAAGCAUUACAUCUAAAUGCUUUGUAAUAAUUAGCAUAUUCUUUCUCACCACACAGCAGAGAAGUAUUAUCCCUAGUUUUAAGAUUAUGAACUGAAAGAAUAAUGACCUUGAGAAUCCAUUACAAAACAGAAGAAGCAGUCAAAUUUAACAUGUUCUUUAGCAUCUUAAUGUGUGUAUUUUUUAUUUUAACUAAGCGAAGAAAAACAUUCAGAUGAAUUGGGAUGCAUAUCUAAAGGAAUCUUCUAUCUUUCAGUGCACAAUACAGUAAAUCACUCAUAAGAAGCAGUCUUAGAAGUUGAAUUGACUUUAUUUGAACAGAAUACAUUAAUCUAGAAAACAAGCUAACUUUUUUUUUCUAAACACUGACAAAUGCAAGAGACAGCACAGGUAUUACUAGAGAAGCAGUAGUUUCAUUAUCCGUUAAACUACUUAAGAGUAACAAAACACAUUACAGUUUAUUAGGACAAUCUAUGUGUGAGUACCUGUCCUAGCAAGUUCUAUCAUGCACUCAAGUGAGAUAUAAACUAUCCAGUCUUUAAGUUUACUAACAUCAUAUUAUGCAAACAAUUUCAAGUAAAUACUUUUACCUAAUUUGAAAAAUUUGCCACCUUCCACAGCACCACAUGAAGUUCUGGUGUUAAAAUAACAUUUAAUCCACAGCAAUAGCUAAAUAUUUGAAAUACUUAUGUAAUACAUUGUAAACUCUACAUAAACACUACAUACACCCAAUAAAUAAAUAAAUACAAAGAACAGGAAGAUCAUUUUGAUUAGCAAAGAAAUGUAUCGCCAGAAUCAUUUUUCUGUUCUUACGACUUAUCCCCAAACCACUCCCAGAAAAGGCACAGAUAGUGGUGAUUUUUUUUUUUUUAAACACACAAAGCCAGAAUCAACACAGUAGGCCUGAGCAGUCAAAGGCUGCUCUAUUUCUAGGAAAAACAGGUAAGAAAUUUGCAGUAGGUGUCAGAAUGUCCCAGGAAGAUUCAAUUCAACAGAAGAUCUCCAGCAUCUGCUUACUGUCCUAGGUUCAAAUGCAGACGAGAAUCAGACAUGAGGUUUAGCGGAAUGUUACUGAAUAUUUUGGAUAUGGGUGUUAGCUAGCGUAUAGCUUAUUAUAAAUAUUGUAGUUACUUGCAUAUUCCAAGGCAGUAGAGACUCAUCUCACAAUCAGCUAAUAAUAGCACUUGGUAGAGAUGGAGCUUUUAAAAUUAAAAUGGUUAUUACUGUUCAAAGAUUACACUUGUUAAAUAUUUGCGAAUACUUUUAGUAAACAAAACCUUUCAAUAUGUAGACCUUUUAAAAUGCAAUGUAACUACACAACUUAUCAUGUUUCCUUACACGUAACAGAGUAGAGAUGAGAAAAUGUAAAUCAUUCCAAUGUUUGAUUAAUACAGCAUCU
This is a long non-coding RNA of Cygnus olor (mute swan), 2332 nucleotides long. RefSeq lists it as uncharacterized. Lineage: Eukaryota; Metazoa; Chordata; Aves; Anseriformes; Anatidae. The transcript has 2 exons. The record is from RefSeq and is a predicted model, not a curated record.